AGUUGAUAUAUCUAAACAAUAACAAUCACUAAGAUUGUACGAGGCAUUCAAACUUGAGAGGAAAACUAGCUCAAACUUGUCGAGGCUACAUCGUUAGUGAAGAAACUCACGUUUGAUCUUGUUGAUAUUUGUCAGGACAGAUUUCAUGUUCAACCUCUCACUAGGAAAAUCAGCUGUGCAAUUCAACGCCAACUCCAGAAUAGAGGAUAGACAAUGCAGCUUUUUUGUGAAAUCAGUUUCUUGAUCUUGUUUCAUUAAGGUGACAUCAAUAAUGUCCUCCGGUGCAACAUGUAUUGAAUUAUAUACCCAACGCCUCAUGCUCAAAUUUU
This 329-nucleotide unclassified non-coding RNA is filed under the name Hevea brasiliensis (rubber tree). The record is from RNAcentral. Lineage: Eukaryota; Viridiplantae; Streptophyta; Magnoliopsida; Malpighiales; Euphorbiaceae.